RNAcentral lists this ribosomal RNA (433 nucleotides) under uncultured bacterium. RNAcentral's name for it is "partial 16S ribosomal RNA". It matches the Rfam family "Bacterial small subunit ribosomal RNA", at positions 29 to 507 of the family's 1533-position model. The record is from RNAcentral.
AGCGAACGCUGGCGGCAGGCUUAACACAUGCAAGUCGAGCGGGCACUUCGGUGUCAGCGGCAGACGGGUGAGUAACACGUGGGAACGUACCCUUCGGUUCGGAAUAACGCUGGGAAACUAGCGCUAAUACCGGAUACGCCCUUUUGGGGAAAGGUUUACUGCCGAAGGAUCGGCCCGCGUCUGAUUAGCUAGUUGGUGGGGUAAUGGCCUACCAAGGCGACGAUCAGUAGCUGGUCUGAGAGGAUGAUCAGCCACACUGGGACUGAGACACGGCCCAGACUCCUACGGGAGGCAGAAGUGGGGAAUAUUGGACAAUGGGCGCAAGCCUGAUCCAGCCAUGCCGCGUGAGUGAUGAAGGCCUUAGGGUUGUAAAGCUCUUUUGUCCGGGACGAUAAUGACGGUACCGGAAGAAUAAGCCCCGGCUAACUUCGUG